Molecule: small RNA, 1418 nt
Filed under: Rattus norvegicus (Norway rat)
Lineage: Eukaryota; Metazoa; Chordata; Mammalia; Rodentia; Muridae
Description: uncharacterized LOC102552357
Source: RNAcentral
GGAUGUGUUUAUUUUUAUUUUAUACGUGUGAGUGUUUUGUCUACACCUGUGCCCUUCCGUGCUUGCAGAAGACAGCGUGGACGCUCUGGACCUGCAGUUACAGACCGUUUUAAACCACUCCUUGGAUGCUGGGAAUAGAACCUGGGUCCACUCAAGUGCUCUUAACAGCUGAGCCAACUCUGCCGCCCAAUUAGUUUGAUAUUAUUGAAACACAAUCACGGUCACGGGUUUCUCAUGUGACUACAGAGAAGCCAAAGGGAGAUGCUCUGCCUUCCGGAAUGAGUUGUCCACAGCUGUCUUUGUCCUUGAACAUGCUCACAAAGCCUUAAGAAAAACCAAGUCAGUACCGCACGGAACCAGACCCUCCUGGUUGGGCAGAGGAGUGUUUGAGGGCUCAGCAUCUCCUUGGCUCAUCCUGACUGGGUUCUAAUCCUUGGCAUUUGAGCUGUUUAUGGAAAUGGUCACAGUCAAACGUGGUCCCAUCCCACUGCUGUUUGUCACACUGGGCAAGAAGAGGUCCCGGGACCUGUUGCAAUAGUAGCUGGAGACGCAGCUCCCGCUAAUGCUCUCAGGGACACCUGACAAUUCUCAGGUUACAAGACAUCCGUGCUUUCUCCCAAUUCACAAACUGUCAAGAGGGGUACGCCAGCUGCCUGGUAACUCUACUGUCACCGCCACGUGUACAGAUUCCCUUAACAUCCGGAUGACUGUGGAUACUAGUUAGCAGUCCUAAUUUUGAUGCGCACUGUAACCAGCUACCUCACACUGCUCCUGGCAUGCCUACUCUUCCACGGUGGACUAUAUCCCUUCCUUCUUAGAUGAUCCAACAAGGCUCUUGUGGCUUCAGGAUACAGCGAGGAGGAGGAGGACAUUGGAAGAGGAGCCACAUUGGUGAACAGAGAACAGUGAGAGCAGGGAGGAGCAGCAGCCAUUGGGGACGACUCUCCAAAUGCCUAGCACGCCAGGCCUGGGGUGCAGAAGAAACUCAUCAACGGCAGAACUCGACUUCUCACACUUCAGGGGGAAAUGUCAAUCACAGCUCAGGAGGGUAAUGUCAUGGCAUAUUUGAGAUGGUUCAUAGAUGGCACCUCCUCAUUGGAUCCUCCCAGGGGCAAAGGAGCAGUGGGUCUCUCCCAGCCUUUUUUCACAAGUGUGCUGAUGUCACUUCUGGGGGCUCUAGACUCGUGACCUCAAUGUCCCUGCCCUAAUGCCAUCACGAUGAGCAUGUCUCAUUGCAUAUGAACUUCGUGUGUCUCAUUACAUAUGGCUCAUAACAUACAUACAUUGGAUGACGCUAACAUCAGACCACAUGUGUUGGUAAUACUGACUGUCACCUUGACAGGUUCUGGGGUAACCUAGGAGAUGAACCUUGUACUGGCUGGUUCUGUAUGUCAACUCAACACAAGCUGCAGUUAUCA